Molecule: long non-coding RNA, 1434 nt
Filed under: Corvus moneduloides (New Caledonian crow)
Lineage: Eukaryota; Metazoa; Chordata; Aves; Passeriformes; Corvidae
Description: lncRNA (ENSCMUG00000018104.1)
Source: RNAcentral
CGAUCCGGAGCCUGCGGGUGGCAGCGGAGCCCGGCCCAGGCGCUCCAGGGAUGCACAUUCCGUGUUUAAAAAUAGCGUGUGGGUGUGAGGCAUCAGGAGGCCUGGUAUUCUCUCAGCCCCCGAGGACGGGCAGUUCUCCGCUCCACGCUGCAGUUCUAGCGUUCGUGGAUAUGUCCAACGCCCUCAUGGAGAUGUCCUGUGCGCUCAUCCUAUGGUUUAAGGCUUUGCACCCGGAGCUUUUUUAUCUGGAUGCAUUCAGAAGCCAAUGAAAGACACUUCACAUGCCUGUACCUCUUUGCACCCUGGGAAUGUCACAGCUUCUGAGGACAGAAAGGUUUUCCCACUGGCCUCUUCUGUGGAGGGUAAAUCUCCAUCAUAAAGCAUUUUCUAAGCAGCUGACCAGGACAGCGGAUGAGAAUGUGUUUCAGAGCAUUUUCCCUGAUUCUUGAACGUGCAAAAUAAGCCUGCUGCAAGCAGCCAGACCCUGAUGGACAAAUGGACACACCUGGCCUGACUCUUCUGCAGCUGAUGAAGGGUGGCCAAGGUGGUACUAUGAUGUAAAGCUUUGUGUGUGUAUUUAAGACCAUUCCAACAUUUUAUUACUCAACAAAACUCUUCUAGAAAAAAACUCAGUCUGGACAUAACCCCUGAGAGACCCUUGGAAGGAAAUUGGAGUAUCCAGGGACACUUGGGACUUCUCUGCUGCAACAGCAAGUGGCAGGGAGCGUUGGCCAUGGCAGGACUGAGCACAGAAAGCAGCUGUUUGGAGGUGAUGCUGCUGCUCCCAGAUGAUACAGCAUGGAUACUCUCUCAGCUGGGAGUGCUUGGACCCCAAUUUACAUCUGGCAAACCUUGAAGAAAUCAAAUAAAACUUCUUUUGUAACAUUAGAGUGAAGUAAGAGGAGUUCUCUUAAGAGACACCCUAGGAAUAGAAAGAUAGGAUUGAAUAAUAUUUCAUUCACUUCUUGUUGCCUGGAAUAAAAUUUGUGAGAGAAUACUGUUCUUAUCCUUGGCCAGUAUCUUCUCAAACCCAGCAAAGCAGAGGGCAGACAAGGUUUAUAGUUCACAUUUGCAGAUUCUAGUGACAUAAGUUUACAAUAAUGGUCUAAUAGUUCAGCGUAACAGUGACUCAUGGCUUAUUGCUGUGGCAAUAGGAAUGUAAAGAGAUCUCAUUUGAAAAAAAAAUAUAUUUGGAUAGUUCACAUCCUUUCCUCCCUACUCAUGAAUUCCUGUGCCAUUGACUGCUAGCUGCUAAAAAUAGGAUCCUUUUUGUGUAUCUAAAGGAAAACCUAGUAUCAGAGAGAGUGGGAGGGGACCAAGGCCCUUCCACACAGAGCCUUCAGGAAAUAUUUGUAAUGAAAGCCCUGUGAGAAUGCAGGAAUGUUUUUAAAAGAUGGGAACAAUCUAGGAAGGUAUCUUGGAAGGAAGAAGGAG